RNAcentral lists this long non-coding RNA (266 nucleotides) under Olea europaea (common olive). RNAcentral's name for it is "long non-coding RNA (OEUR_LNC002459)". The record is from RNAcentral. Lineage: Eukaryota; Viridiplantae; Streptophyta; Magnoliopsida; Lamiales; Oleaceae.
AGGAAUAUAUCGGAAGAGAGUGGAAGAAGUCAACAAGGGAAGCUUUGGGAAUUUUCUUUUCUUUUCUUUUCUUUUCUUUUGAAAAAACUGUGUUUUGUCGGGUGAAAUAUAUAUAUUUCUUCAAUUGCAGCCUUGCAGCAAUGUUCUUCCGAGAAAUGGAGUGCACGAAAAGAUAAAAGUCGAAGGAACGUUGAUUUGAAAAGUUUAUACAAGGGCCAUUAUGGGAAUCAAAUUUUGGCAGGGCAUUUUGGAAAAUCAUAGGAAGA